UUUUAUGGAGAGUUUGAUCCUGGCUCAGAGUGAACGCUGGCGGCGUGCCUAAUACAUGCAAGUCGAACGAUGAAGCUUCUAGCUUGCUAGAAGUGGAUUAGUGGCGCACGGGUGAGUAAGGUAUAGUUAAUCUGCCCUACACAAGAGGACAACAGUUGGAAACGACUGCUAAUACUCUAUACUCCUGCUUAACACAAGUUGAGUAGGGAAAGUUUUUCGGUGUAGGAUGAGACUAUAUAGUA
This 242-nucleotide ribosomal RNA is filed under the name Campylobacter coli. RNAcentral describes it as "partial 16S ribosomal RNA". It matches the Rfam family "Bacterial small subunit ribosomal RNA", at positions 1 to 240 of the family's 1533-position model. The record is from RNAcentral. Lineage: Bacteria; Pseudomonadati; Campylobacterota; Epsilonproteobacteria; Campylobacterales; Campylobacteraceae.